RNAcentral lists this ribosomal RNA (464 nucleotides) under uncultured bacterium. Its description in RNAcentral is "partial 16S ribosomal RNA". It matches the Rfam family "Bacterial small subunit ribosomal RNA", at positions 339 to 795 of the family's 1533-position model. The record is from RNAcentral.
CUACGGGGGGCAGCAGUAGGGAAUCUUCCACAAUGGGCGAAAGCCUGAUGGAGCAACGCCGCGUGAGUGAAGAAGGUUUUCGGAUCGUAAAACUCUGCUGUAAGGGAAGAACAAGUACAGUAGUAACUGGCUGUACCUUGACGGUACCUUAUUAGAAAGCCACGGCUAACUACGUGCCAGCAGCCGCGGUAAUACGUAGGUGGCAAGCGUUGUCCGGAAUUAUUGGGCGUAAAGCGCGCGCAGGCGGUCCUUUAAGUCUGAUGUGAAAGCCCACGGCUCAACCGUGGAGGGUCAUUGGAAACUGGGGGACUUGAGUGCAGAAGAGGAAAGUGGAAUUCCAAGUGUAGCGGUGAAAUGCGUAGAGAUUUGGAGGAACACCAGUGGCGAAGGCGACUUUCUGGUCUGUAACUGACGCUGAGGCGCGAAAGCGUGGGGAGCAAACAGGAUUAGAUACCCCCGUAGUC